This is a non-coding RNA of Microcebus murinus (gray mouse lemur), 3521 nucleotides long. Lineage: Eukaryota; Metazoa; Chordata; Mammalia; Primates; Cheirogaleidae. The record is from RefSeq and is a predicted model, not a curated record.
UUGGUUGCCGGGGGCCGCAGUGCACGCCGGGAGGGAAAGGAAAUCAGGUUUCUCUCCUGGGGCGGCCAGGUGAGUUGUGGCUACCGCGCUGCCCUGCUCUGCUCCGCUGAGACGUGGUGUCAGGGCCGGCCCUCCCGGCAGUGCCCUGGGGCGUCCUAGGAGCGGUCCUCCCGUCCUGGACGCGACGAAUGCUUCCGGAAGCCGUGGGAAGAAAUUCCGGGCAGCAGAGGUAACUUCACAGGGGAGGCGCGUAGGAGCUGGCUGGAGGGAUUGGAGGAGGCCGACUUCUCUGGUGAUUGGCUGGGAGUUCUUGUGUACAGCGUACAGCAUUGGCAGUACCUGUCCAAUGGUUACAAUACCCGAAACAGGUAUGUAAAAUCAAGCUGAUACAUGGAUAGAGGUUCCCAUUUUACCUGGGAGGACCUGACAAGAAAACGCCAGUCUGCUAUGUAAAAAGACACAUUCUCCUAUACCAAAAGGAUGCAGCAAAUUAGUCAUUAUUCCUAAUUAUUAUUAUCAUUCUCCUAUUACAGGUGAGGCUUCAUAGGCACAGAGAGGUUAGGUCAGCUCCCGAGAGUCACUCAGGUUUCAAGUGCUUGAGUCCCAGAGCACCUAAUACUCGAUAUGUCCCAAGCUGAACCCAUCCACCCCCACUCUCUGGACACCUGCCCCUCCUCAGUGGUGCCUAACACAGUGAAAAGCAGCACCUUCUGCCCAGCAGCUUAGGCCGGGGAUCUUUAAAGCCAUCCCGAUUGCUGCCUUUCUCUCACCACCCCCACAGUGGCUAAGUCUGGCCACUUUGACCUCCCACGUCUAAGUAAGGUCUUUACACUUCUCUCCAUUACAACAGGAAGUUCCCUAGUCCAGUCACACUCAUCUCUCUCCUUGUCGACCACCAGGGUCAUCAUAGCUAGUCUUCCCACUGCCAGCCUUGUCCCCUUGUCCCCCAAGCAUCCUCUGUCCCAGUGCCUGAUGGACCUUUCAUAACUCCUUGUGGUGUCGUAUUACCCCUGCUCAAACUCUGCAGGGGCUGCUUGUUGCUCUUAGGAUAAUGUCCAACCUCCCAGACUAGGCACAUCUGGCCCAGCCUACCUCAAAACACCUCAGCUGUAGCAGACACCUGCUGCUGCACCCCACACUUAAUGUUCCAGACAUCUAAACCUUUGUGUUCAUCGGAUGCCCACCCAUGCCCUCUCUGUCCCUCCCUCUCUCUCUGCUGUCUACAGCCUUACACCUGCUGUCCCUUCUGUCUGGCCUGCACUUCCUCCCUCCUCCUCUGCCUGAUUCCUGCUUACCUUCAGCCCUAAGGUUAAGGAGAGCCAUUUCUAUUUUACCUUGGGAGUAUCUGGAUAAAAAGGCACACUUACUGGUUCAAUAUUUUUACUGAUGGGCAUGUGUUGGAGAUCCUUUUAAAUCCCCAAAUGGACCAGUGAAUGGGAAAUACAGUCUGGGGGCAGGGUUUUCUGGGGCCCUGACAUGCUUGCCUCCUCACUGAGGUGUCCCUAACACAUGGCACAAUGUGAAUGGGACUUCCUGGAGCCUGGCUAGCGAGGACUUAGUGUGUGCUGCGCAUGUCUGAGUUUUAUUUCCCAAAGACCUAGAGAAGUAAGUGUCAAAUCCUCCAUCUACAAACAAGGACCCAAACUGAAAAAGGUUAGGUCGCCGAUGCUGAAAAGGCUGCAUCUGGGAAUCACACAUCUGGUUCUGUGUGACUCCAAAGCCAGGCCUCUGUCCACUCCACUCACACACUUUCCACGACAGACUUUGCUUGAGUCCCCCUUGACGGGAUGCAGAUACUGUCCUGUGAUGGGAUAGCGUCUUUCCAACACCGUGUCCCUGUGAAAUGCAGGACAAAGACACCUUGAAAGGCCCUAAGAUGCUGCAUGUCUUCCAUCUGAGGAGCUCUCCUGGAGUCCCGUGGUGUGAAAGGCUUGCCCGGGAGCUAACAGCUGAGCAGGACUUUGACUUCUAGGGCUCCUCUAGGGGAGGCACUUUGCCAUAUGAGAGCGACUUUUGCAGUCUACCCCCACCCCCAAAUUAUGUCUCCAUUGGCCUCACUCUGUUUAACAGAUAAGAAUAUGGAGGGAAACAGCCAGAGGGAGUGUUUUUAGUGGCUGCCACACAGCUCUGGAGUUGAUCAGACUGAAAGGUGGUUUGGAGCCCCAAAGACCAACCAGGAGUGGAAACCUGCUCCUGCUGUGUUGAGCUCUCUGUUCUCAGCGCUCUCUCGUGUAAAGUGUGGAUAACCAAAGGGUCUACCGCACAAACCUCUCCUGACCAGAGAAGUCUGUCCUGACAGGAGCCUCUCACGCACACACCCCUUGGGCGAGGAGGAAGGGGUGUCCUGAGGGCACCAUGAGUUCUGCCAUUGCUCGCCUCACCCCACCUCAGCUCACCUGCUCAGAGGGGAUAGUGCAGUGCAUCCCUGCAUCCACCACCUGUGUCCAGUACGUAGAGACCUCCUGUCCAUUUGGCUCUUAGGACAUGUUCAUUCAGUGAAUGAAGGACCUUGGUCCAGGGUGCUGGUCAGUAAUGGGCAGCUGUGACCGUAGCAGUUCUUUCAGCACUAGAAAUGGUACAGGAGAACUGAGUGAGCAGAGGACAUCUCUACAGUCACAUUCUCUUCCGUUUGGGUUGAGGGAAGAGGAUAGUAUCUUUUAUCCCAUCCCUAAUUCCAGAACUCCUAAUAAAAGAGGCUACUAAAUUCUUUAGACACGUGUUGACUGAUCUGUUCCACUGUGAGUCUCAGGUCUAGCCUCCCAGUGGGACCGCACUGGUCAGUCCCCAGAAGUUUCCCAUGUCCCUGUGGCCAGUGCACAUAGUUGCACUGUUCAUUUGGAGAAUGGUUGAGUGAACUCAGGCCUGCUAAUUGAAUAUGUGGUCCUGUGGCUACAGCCCAGAUGUCCGCGGCGACCAAGACAUGAGGACAGGAUGAAGACAUGAGUCAAGUUCAGGUAACCUCUGUCCACCUCACCUGGUUGUCUUGGCUGUUUGCCCAAACCAUCCUGUCUUAGACUGGUCUUCCCCUGUGUCCCUGCUUUGCCUGAACUUAGCUGGUCCACACAGAUGUGCCCUCAGUAUCUAUGUCCCUUGGUUGUCCUUCCUGGUCUAGCUGACUGACCAGAAGCUUACUUGGCCCAGCAGGAUCCUGUCCCUGUUACCUCCUGUCCCUGUUCAGCCCUUACCCCUGCUCUCAACUGCACUGACAUCCUUGUAGCAUCUUUGCUGUGCUGGGCAUGCUCUGCCUCUGACACUUUCCCCCACCUGUUCUCUCUGGAAAGCCCUGACUCCACAAACCUGCUUGGCUGACUCUUCUACCCAUUCACGUCUUUGUCAAAAUGUCACCUUCUCAAUGCAGCCUACCCAGGUCACUCUGUUUAAUAGUUUAAGCCGCAGCUAACCCAGUUCAUCCGCACAUUCCUGAGCUUAUUACCAUGAUCUAAAUACUUUUUCUUUUUUUCACAGCCCCCAUCACCUCCUAACAUACUGUCCAGUUGAUUAAAUUACCACAUGGAGCGUUU